RNAcentral lists this ribosomal RNA (847 nucleotides) under Pluteus sp. SP393714. RNAcentral describes it as "LSU rRNA". It matches the Rfam family "Eukaryotic large subunit ribosomal RNA", at positions 51 to 882 of the family's 3401-position model. Lineage: Eukaryota; Fungi; Basidiomycota; Agaricomycetes; Agaricales; Pluteaceae. The record is from RNAcentral.
CGGAGGAAAAGAAACUAACAAGGAUUCCCCUAGUAACUGCGAGUGAAGCGGGAAAAGCUCAAAUUUAAAAUCUGGCAGUCUCUGGCUGUCCGAGUUGUAAACUAGAGAAGUGCUAUCCGUGCUGGACCAUGUAUAAGUCUCCUGGAAUGGAGCGUCAUAGAGGGUGAGAAUCCCGUCUUUGACAUGGACUACCAGUGCAUUGUGAUGUGCUCUCAAAGAGUCGAGUUGUUUGGGAAAUGCAGCUCAAAAUGGGUGGUAAUUCCAUCUAAAGCUAAAUAUUGGCGAGAGACCGAUAGCGAACAAGUACCGUGAGGGAAAGAUGAAAAGAACUUUGGAAAGAGAGUUAAACAGUACGUGAAAUUGUUGAAAGGGAAACGCUUGAAGUCAGUCACAUUGGCUGUGGAGAUCAACCUUGCAUUUGUAAGGUGUACUCUCUGGUUGAUGGGUCAGCAUCAAUUUUGACCAUUGGAAAAAGGUUAGGGGAAUGUGGCAUCCUUGGAUGUGUUAUAGCCCUUGAUUGUAUACAGUGGUUGGGAUUGAGGAACUCAGCACGCCCGCAAGGCCGGGUUUCGACCACGUUCGUGCUUAGGAUGCUGGCAUAAUGGCUUUAAUCGACCCGUCUUGAAACACGGACCAAGGAGUCUAACAUGCCUGCGAGUGUUUGGGUGGAAAACCCAUACGCGUAAUGAAAGUGAAAGUUGAGAUCUCUGUCAUGGAGAGCACCGACGCCCGGACCAGACCUUUUGUGACGGAUCCGCGGUAGAGCAUGUAUGUUGGGACCCGAAAGAUGGUGAACUAUGCCUGAAUAGGGCGAAGCCAGAGGAAACUCUGGUGGAGGCUCGUAGCG